AGUCUCUAAGGUGCCACAAGUACUCCUUUUCUUUUUGCGGAUACAGACUAACACGGCUGCUACUCUGAAAUCUAUAAAGCUGGUAUCCCAAACCCCACAGACGUUCACACUCCUCCUGUACACCCAUCCUAGCCAGGUUUACUAGAGCUGGGUCACUUCUUCUCCUGGAGGCAGAUUGAACAAUCCAGUCCCAAGAAAUUUCAGUUCAUAUUACUGGCUGCACGGAGUGUUGUUUUACAAGGUACUUUGUGACGAUCACUAGGUUGUUAGGUUGAACAGAGUCUGAGGGGGAUGGCACAUUAUGCUGUGCUAGUAUGGCCCAGCUGUUGCAGGGUCUUCAUCUAUCUCUGCAUCUGCUUUCUUUAAGAAUGUGUCUGGCGAUCAUACUAAAUCUCGGAAGAUGAGGCUGAAACCUGAAGUCAAAAACUACAUUUAAUACUCAAAAGUAGCUGAAGAGCCUCUGAGAGCCCGGUAACUUGGAGAAAGGAGAACAGCAAAUAAUAUUCUACAAGAAAUAGUAUAGUGCAGUUGUUAUCCUGGGAGCCCCCGUGUGAAGUGUGGAAUUCAGCAUCUAACCCAAAUAUGCCCAUGUCUCUAGAAAAAAUUCAUUGGUACAAAAGCCUUGAAAUGUCCAACUACCUGAUUCCUAUUAGUAAAUCUUUAUUUUUUUAGAGAAUUUCCCAUAUAUUAUGGCAACUCGGAAAUAUGAAGGCACCUUUAACAAGCAUUCAUUAAUAUGUUCUGUGAAGUUUUCUGUUCCAAGGAAAAAGUAUGAAUCUUCCAAGUUUUCCUGGCAUUGCACAUGCAUUCCUGGUACUAACAGGGGAAAAAGCCCACCUCAGCAUUCUUUCGGUUAUUCAUUGAAAUGCCAGUGUUUCAGUACUGGUACCUCCUUGAGAGUCAAAGAGGAAGUAGAAUGACUUGCCAAACUAAUUUUUCAUCAUAAGUCCACACUAACAAUUAAUAGUCAAUAGGACUCUUUUAUUUUAAAAAGUUAUCACAAGAGCGCCGUUGCAUUACAGCAUCUGUUUCUUGCCAGACAUCUACUUUGUGUUGCUUCCCAAAGGAUCUUUGGGAACAGGCCUUUAAAUUUCAUUUUGGAAUUUGUCAGAUUUUUAGUGUUGAUUUAUUUAACUAAAUUGUACAUUCAUAUUUGUAUGUACUGAACUGUAUCAAAAAAUUUUUAAAGCUAGCACUGUUACUAAUCCAUUUUUACUAGGAUUUAAAACUCACUUCACUCUGAUUUUGCUAGGAUUUAAACUUCAUAUUUUUCAUAACAAAUAGCCUAAUGUAUCUGACUUUUAUUUUUGUUUUUAAUUAAAAGGAAAAGUGUCUGUAUGAGAAAGUGUCAAUAUUUGUGUUUGGCAGUUCUGUACCAUCAUUUAGCUGCUCCUUUGGAAGGCACCAGUUCUGCAAAUAUUUGUGCUAACCUUGAAGCAGCUUGCUGACUGGAGAAAGAGUAGAGGGGACUAAUAAAUCCUGCAUGAUGAGAAAACCAAAAUGAACUUCUACACAUCAGAUUGUACUUUACUAUUUCAAUACUGUAUCAGCAUUGUACAGGAGAAAUCUGCAAUAUGGACCAUCAAUGGCUGUAGAAAGAUCAAUUCCUGUUUUCAGACCUACUCACUGAAGCCCUGAUUCUGCAAAGCAAUUAUGCGUGUGCUUCGCUUUAAGUAUGUGAGUAAUCUCAUUCAUGUUUAGCAAAGCAUGUGUUUAACUUCAUUUGCUUAAAGUUAAUAAUGUAAGUGCUUGCAUGCCUUGUUGAACAGGGAUGAAUUUGCUUGUGUACUUAAAGUUGAGCACAAGGUUGAGUGUCUUGCAGGUCUGGGAACACAGAAAAAGCGGUUUGCAUGCACCUUAGCUGUGGCCCAGCUCAAACUAAUGAGCCAUGUUCUGUAGUGCUAGUGAGCUGCCAUGCAUAUCAUAAAUACUAGUCUUGUUAUGAGUUGACUGAACUCUACAAAUGUGCUUUUUGAAAGGCUGAUAAAUGUGACCAAUCAAUUUCAGAUUUAAUUGUUGUUACAUUCUAAACCAGCUCUGCAAUUACCUUCACAGAGAAGGGGGAAUGGGUAAAAUGUAGACAUGGCUAGAUCAACUGCCCCUCUUUUAAACAGACACGGGGACCAGGGAGGACACUCAGUGAUUUUCUGUUUCUACAGUUUUCUCAUUCUCAUUGGCUCUGCUGUGAAAUAUCACAAGAGCACCUUUGUUAUGCUCACUGUUCUGCUAUUUACUGAAUUUGGCAUCCGCCAAAAGCCAUUCAGAUUCAGCAGAGACUCUUAUUGGCACCGACAGGCUUUGGAACAGGCCUCUGAGGCCUGCUUCUGGUGAGGUUCUUUCAUCUUCUGUUUGGGAGAGUGGUUGUAAGUGUUGAUUCGGUAGGACGUACUCCAUUUUAUGCAGUUGUUAUAGCCGUGUAUGUCCCAGGAUAUUAGAGAGACAAAGUGGUUGAGGUAAGACCUUUUA
Long non-coding RNA from Chelonia mydas (Green sea turtle), 2466 nucleotides. RefSeq lists it as uncharacterized. NCBI's taxonomy places the organism in Eukaryota, Metazoa, Chordata, Testudines, Cheloniidae. The transcript is spliced from 2 exons. The record is from RefSeq and is a predicted model, not a curated record.